Molecule: ribosomal RNA, 445 nt
Filed under: uncultured bacterium
Lineage: Bacteria
Description: bacterial SSU rRNA
Rfam family: Bacterial small subunit ribosomal RNA
Source: RNAcentral
CUACGGGAGGCAGCAGUGGGGAAUAUUGCACAAUGGGCGAAAGCCUGAUGCAGCGACGCCGCGUGCGGGAUGACGGCCUUCGGGUUGUAAACCGCUUUCAGCAGGGAAGAAGCGCAAGUGACGGUACCUGCAGAAGAAGCACCGGCUAACUACGUGCCAGCAGCCGCGGUAAUACGUAGGGUGCGAGCGUUGUCCGGAAUUAUUGGGCGUAAAGAGCUCGUAGGCGGUUUGUCGCGUCGUCUGUGAAAACCCGCAGCUCAACUGCGGGCUUGCAGGCGAUACGGGCAGACUUGAGUACUGCAGGGGAGACUGGAAUUCCUGGUGUAGCGGUGAAAUGCGCAGAUAUCAGGAGGAACACCGGUGGCGAAGGCGGGUCUCUGGGCAGUAACUGACGCUGAGGAGCGAAAGCGUGGGUAGCGAACAGGAUUAGAAACCCUAGUAGUCC